This 123-nucleotide ribosomal RNA is filed under the name Periophthalmus magnuspinnatus. The record is from RNAcentral. Lineage: Eukaryota; Metazoa; Chordata; Actinopteri; Gobiiformes; Gobiidae.
CUCAAUCUCCAUCUCGUCUGGCCUUGAGAAUGCCCGACCUUGUCUGAUCUAAGAAGCUAAGUCGGGCUGGGCUUGGUUAGUGCGGGGAUGGGAGACUGUUGGGAAUACCAGAUGCGAUAGUGA